CACCACUGCCCCUUUCUCACUUACUGCCCUGCUAUCCUCCUCAGGACUGACUUUCCUGAAACUACACUGGUCUGUUCUCCCUGCUCUAAACUCCCCAAGACUCCCCUGCCUCUGCCUGGCACCCCUAAUGGUACCCAGGUGCACUCAGGCUUUGGGGUCCCACUCCAGACCACCACAAUAAAGCAAGCAUCACAAGAAAGCAAGUCAUGGUCUUUUUGCUCGUGGAGGGUCUUGCCUUCUAUUUGUAAAAACCACAACCCCUCUAAAGCACAAAAAAUGAGGUUUGCCUGUACUUAGCCUACAGCGCUGCUUUUCAUUUGCUGCAAUUGAAACUACCUGGGAUUUCAUACCUGGUCCUGCCGCAGACACUUCCAUCAGUAUGGGAGGUGACUCAGGCAUUGGAAUUUUAAAAGCUCCACAGGUGAUACAGAGUUUGGCAACCUCUCGCCUAUAGAUAGGAUUUGCUUGGCUUACCUGGUGUUGAAUAUAUUGCAAACAUUUAAAAUCAAGUGGUUUCAUAU
Pipistrellus kuhlii (Kuhl's pipistrelle) is the source of this 521-nucleotide long non-coding RNA. RefSeq lists it as uncharacterized. Lineage: Eukaryota; Metazoa; Chordata; Mammalia; Chiroptera; Vespertilionidae. The record is from RefSeq and is a predicted model, not a curated record. The transcript is spliced from 2 exons.